AGGUGGUUAUAGCACGAGGGUUCCACCUCUUCCCAUUCCGAACAGAGAAGUUAAGCCUCGUCACGCCGAUGGUACUGCGUAACAGUGGGAGAGUAGGUA
Molecule: ribosomal RNA, 99 nt
Filed under: Bacteroides ovatus
Lineage: Bacteria; Pseudomonadati; Bacteroidota; Bacteroidia; Bacteroidales; Bacteroidaceae
Source: RNAcentral